RNAcentral lists this transfer RNA (62 nucleotides) under Coleoptera sp. 22 KM-2017. RNAcentral's name for it is "tRNA-Trp". Lineage: Eukaryota; Metazoa; Arthropoda; Insecta; Coleoptera. The record is from RNAcentral.
AAGGUUUUAAGUUAAAAAAACUCUUAGCCUUCAAAGUUAAAAAUAAUCAUCAUUAAACCUUG